AUCUGAGUUUGUAAUUCCAAAAU
RNAcentral lists this small nuclear RNA (23 nucleotides) under Arabidopsis thaliana (thale cress). Its description in RNAcentral is "snRNA_02867". The record is from RNAcentral. Lineage: Eukaryota; Viridiplantae; Streptophyta; Magnoliopsida; Brassicales; Brassicaceae.